CUUCUCGAAACACACGAGGCUUGACCUUCUUAUCGAAUGCUUUCUUCAUUCUCUGCUGAUAUAACUGACCAUGGCACAUGGCAGUCAAUCGCUUCUCUUCAAUCAGAUUCAGCUGGUCGUAACGACUUUGAAUCCAUUCAGCGUCAGUCAACUAGGGAUUCGAGGGUAUAAUUUUUCUUUUUUCUUUCGAAAAAAAAUUAAAUUUUU
This 207-nucleotide long non-coding RNA is filed under the name Lathyrus oleraceus (garden pea). Its description in RNAcentral is "Pisum sativum (pea) long non-coding RNA (PSAT_LNC024512)". Lineage: Eukaryota; Viridiplantae; Streptophyta; Magnoliopsida; Fabales; Fabaceae. The record is from RNAcentral.